AGCAGUUGCAGAGUCAGUCAGCGUCUGCCAGGAGGUGAGUAGAACUAAACUUAAUCUUUUAUGCACGAAAUCUAACGCCUAAAGCAUGAGCAUGCAUCAUGAUUAUGUAUAGUAGGUUGAUUGCACUAGUUCACGAAUAUGUUGCAUUGCAUUAUUUCAUGUUGAUGCUGAGGUAGGGUGGACCGAGGCGACUUCAAUAGCCCAUAUCUGUCACGAGUCUUGUCUUAGUCCUUUGAGAGCCGGACAAGUACAUGUAGGAAAGUCCAUGUGAGCUCUCUGUGGACCAGACACCAUGUCAUGUAUGUUACAGGCCUUUGUGAGCUCCUAUGGGGGAGCCGGGCACCGACAGAGGGAUUUUUGAUGUCAUGUCCAUCCUCUGAGAGGAAAGAUGCAUGCAAAAAGACAGACUCUCAGAAACCAGGGUCCGUGGGGAAUAAAUCUUGCAUAAGCCCCGAGACGGACAAGAUUAUGUGAUUUCUCUGUGUUAUGACGCAUUUCAUGAAAGCAUGAAUAAGAAAAAGAAAGAAGAAGUUAAAUGAAUAAUAAUAUACCUAAAAAUGGAGGAAUUAAAGCAAAUGUUUUU
RNAcentral lists this long non-coding RNA (583 nucleotides) under Manihot esculenta (cassava). Its description in RNAcentral is "long non-coding RNA (MESC_LNC001110)". The record is from RNAcentral. Lineage: Eukaryota; Viridiplantae; Streptophyta; Magnoliopsida; Malpighiales; Euphorbiaceae.